This is a long non-coding RNA of Podarcis raffonei (Aeolian wall lizard), 441 nucleotides long. RefSeq lists it as uncharacterized. The transcript is spliced from 3 exons. NCBI's taxonomy places the organism in Eukaryota, Metazoa, Chordata, Lepidosauria, Squamata, Lacertidae. The record is from RefSeq and is a predicted model, not a curated record.
CGCGCAGCCGCACUCGUCGUCGUCUUCUUCGCAUGCGCGGCGGCGGUACGGCGCGCCUCGUGUUCCCUGUUUGUGUCUCCAGCGGCUGGAAUGAUUGAGAGCCGACUGAUUGAUUGACGGCAGGGGGCUAUUUCUGGGUCAGCGUGUCAGGUUUAUGACUAAGGUGCCAGGCUGAUUUUGUGAUGCCUGAGAUGGCCCGAACAACUUCUGUUCCUAUUUAAACGACUUAACACUUCAAAACGAAAGGAUGAAGGUGCUCCAUAUACAAUUCAUCACAGCACCAGAGGGUUGAAGAGGCCUGGAAUAAAAGCAGUGUAUUACCAGCGGCACUCCAGGGGGAAAGGAAUCUUCCCCCUCGUACAGAAGGAACACAGUCAACAAGGUGAAGGUUGAAACUCAGUGUUACCUUAAAUGCUCCUGUGAUUUGAAUAGGUUUGAGAC